This 253-nucleotide ribosomal RNA is filed under the name uncultured bacterium. Its description in RNAcentral is "partial 16S ribosomal RNA". It matches the Rfam family "Bacterial small subunit ribosomal RNA", at positions 524 to 776 of the family's 1533-position model. The record is from RNAcentral.
UACAGAGGCCCCAAGCGUUACUGAGAAUCACUGGGUUUAAAGGGUGCGUAGGGGGCGCGUUAAGUCCGUUGUGAAAUCCCUGGGCUCAACCCAGGAAAUGCUUCGGAUACUGGCGUGCUUGAGGCUAGUAGGGGUCACUGGAACUGACGGUGGAGCGGUGAAAUGCGUAGAUAUCGUCAGGAACGCCAAUGGUGAAGACAGGUGACUGGGCUAGAUCUGACACUGAGGCACGAAAGCGUGGGGAGCGAACGGG